This 468-nucleotide ribosomal RNA is filed under the name uncultured bacterium. RNAcentral describes it as "partial 16S ribosomal RNA". It matches the Rfam family "Bacterial small subunit ribosomal RNA", at positions 28 to 507 of the family's 1533-position model. The record is from RNAcentral.
GACGAACGCUGGCGGCGCGCCUAACACAUGCAAGUCGAACGGAGCUGAGAGAAGCUUGCUUUUCUUAGCUUAGUUGCGAACGGGUGAGUAACGCGUGAGUAACCUGCCCUGGAGUGGGGGACAACAGUUGGAAACGACUGCUAAUACCGCAUAAGCCCACGAUCCGGCAUCGGCUUGAGGGAAAAGGAUUUAUUCGCUUCAGGAUGGACUCGCGUCCAAUUAGCUAGUUGGUGAGGUAACGGCCCACCAAGGCGACGAUUGGUAGCCGGACUGAGAGGUUGAACGGCCACAGUGGGACUGAGACACGGCCCAGACUCCUACGGGAGGCAGCAGUGGGGGAUAUUGCACAAUGGGGGAAACCCUGAUGCAGCGACGCCGCGUGGAGGAAGAAGGUUUUCGGAUUGUAAACUCCUGUCGUUAGGGACGAUAAUGACGGUACCUAACAAGAAAGCACCGGCUAACUACGUG